AGAAUCAACGCUGGCGGCGUGCCUAACACAUGCAAGUCGAACGAGAAAGUGGAGCAAUCCAUGAGUAAAGUGGCGACCGGGUGAGUAACACGUGACCAAUCUACCCUUGAGUGGGGGAUAACCUCGGGAAACCGGGGCUAAUACCGCAUAAUAUCCUUGGAACGGAAGUACUGGGGAUCAAAGGAGCAAUUCGCUUAAGGAGGAGGUCGCGGCUGAUUAGCUAGUUGGCGGGGUAAUGGCCCACCAAGGCAAAGAUCGGUA
This 261-nucleotide ribosomal RNA is filed under the name uncultured bacterium. RNAcentral's name for it is "partial small subunit ribosomal RNA". It matches the Rfam family "Bacterial small subunit ribosomal RNA", at positions 26 to 285 of the family's 1533-position model. The record is from RNAcentral.